AUACGGAGGGUCCGAGCGUUAAUCGGAAUUACUGGGCGUAAAGCGCGCGUAGGUGGUUCAGUCAGUCAGAUGUGAAAGCCCCGGGCUCAACCUGGGAACUGCACCUGAUACUGCUGAGCUAGAGUACGGUAGAGGGCAGUGGAAUUUCCGGUGUAGCGGUGAAAUGCGUAGAGAUCGGAAGGAACACCAGCGGCGAAGGCGAGUGCCUGGACUGAUACUGACACUGAGGUGCGAAAGCGUGGGUAGCAAACAGGAUUAGAUACCCUGGUGGUCCACGCCGUAAACGAUGUCAACUAGCCGUUGGGGGACUUGAUCCUUUAGUGGCGAAGCUAACGCGAUAAGUUGACCGCCUGGGGAGUACGGCCGCAAGGUUAAAACUCAAAUGAAUUGGCGGGG
RNAcentral lists this ribosomal RNA (396 nucleotides) under uncultured bacterium. RNAcentral describes it as "partial 16S ribosomal RNA". It matches the Rfam family "Bacterial small subunit ribosomal RNA", at positions 523 to 918 of the family's 1533-position model. The record is from RNAcentral.